This 200-nucleotide unclassified non-coding RNA is filed under the name soil metagenome. RNAcentral describes it as "partial contains 5.8S ribosomal RNA, internal transcribed spacer 2, and large subunit ribosomal RNA". The record is from RNAcentral.
GGCAUUCCGAAGGGUAUGCCUGUUUGAGUGUCUUUAACACUCCUCAUUUGGGUUCUGAGCCGUAUUGCCAGGUUAAACCUCUGGCUUGCUUUAAAUGUAUUUGCCCCCCGUCUCACGUAAUAAUAUUCGCAGAGAUUAGAGGGGGGGCCCCUCCUCACUUUCCAGACCUCAAAUCAGGUAGGACUACCCGCUGAACUUAA